AACGAACGCUGGCGGCAGGCUUAACACAUGCAAGUCGAGCGCCCCGCAAGGGGAGCGGCAGACGGGUGAGUAACACGUGGGAACCUUCCUAGAGGUACGGAACAACUCAGGGAAACUUGAGCUAAUACCGUAUACGCUCUUGCGAGGAAAGAUUUAUCGCCUUUAGACGGGCCCGCGUCGGAUUAGCUAGUUGGUGGGGUAACGGCCUACCAAGGCGACGAUCCGUAGCUGAUCUGAGAGGAUGAUCAGCCACACUGGGACUGAGACACGGCCCAGACUCCUACGGGAGGCAGCAGUGGGGAAUCUUGGACAAUGGGCGCAAGCCUGAUCCAGCCAUGCCGCGUGAGUGAAGAAGGCCUUCGGGUUGUAAAGCUCUUUUGCCAGGGACGAUAAUGACGGUACCUGGAGAAUAAGCCCCGGCAAACUUCGUGCCAGCCGCCGCCGUAA
RNAcentral lists this ribosomal RNA (447 nucleotides) under uncultured bacterium. RNAcentral's name for it is "partial 16S ribosomal RNA". It matches the Rfam family "Bacterial small subunit ribosomal RNA", at positions 29 to 523 of the family's 1533-position model. The record is from RNAcentral.